RNAcentral lists this small RNA (553 nucleotides) under Pan troglodytes (chimpanzee). Its description in RNAcentral is "retained intron". Lineage: Eukaryota; Metazoa; Chordata; Mammalia; Primates; Hominidae. The record is from RNAcentral.
ACGUCGGCACCAGCUGCGGGGCAAGAUGGAGGCGCUGAUUUUGGAACCUUCCCUGUAUACUGUCAAAGCCAUCCUGAUUCUGGACAAUGAUGGAGAUCGACUUUUUGCCAAGUACUAUGACGACACCUACCCCAGUGUCAAGGAGCAAAAGGCCUUUGAGAAGAACAUUUUCAACAAGACCCAUCGGACUGACAGUGAAAUUGCCCUCUUGGAAGGCCUGACAGUGGUAUACAAAAGCAGUAUAGAUCUCUAUUUCUAUGUGAUUGGCAGCUCCUAUGAAAAUGAGCUGAUGCUUAUGGCUGUUCUGAACUGUCUCUUCGACUCAUUGAGCCAGAUGCUGAGGAAAAAUGUAGAAAAGCGAGCACUGCUGGAGAACAUGGAGGGGCUGUUCUUGGCUGUGGAUGAAAUUGUAGAUGGAGGGGUGAUCCUAGAGAGUGAUCCCCAGCAGGUGGUACACCGGGUGGCAUUAAGGGUAAGCAAGAAUGUGUUUCUCUGCAUCCCCGCAUCUAUUCACAAACACCCUCCAGAGCCAGACCUGCUGGAUGUGUCCAGU